RNAcentral lists this ribosomal RNA (2772 nucleotides) under Escherichia coli. RNAcentral describes it as "bacterial LSU rRNA". It matches the Rfam family "Bacterial large subunit ribosomal RNA". The record is from RNAcentral. Lineage: Bacteria; Pseudomonadati; Pseudomonadota; Gammaproteobacteria; Enterobacterales; Enterobacteriaceae.
GGGUUGUGAGGUUAAGCGACUAAGCGUACACGGUGGAUGCCCUGGCAGUCAGAGGCGAUGAAGGACGUGCUAAUCUGCGAUAAGCGUCGGURAGGUGAUAUGAACCGUUAUACGGGGAGSAGCCCAGAGCCUGAAUCAGUGUGUGUGUUAGUGGAAGCGUCUGGAAAGGCGCGCGAUACAGGGUGACAGCCCCGUACACAAAAAUGCACAUACUGUGAGCUCGAUGAGUAGGGCGGGACACGUGGUAUCCUGUCUGAAUAUGGGGGGACCAUCCUCCAAGGCUAAAUACUCCUGACUGACCGAUAGUGAACCAGUACCGUGAGGGAAAGGCGAAAAGAACCCCGGYGAGGGGAGUGAAAAAGAACCUGAAACCGUGUACGUACAAGCAGUGGGAGCCUCUUWAUGGGGUGACUGCGUACCUUUUGUAUAAUGGGUCAGCGACUUAUAUUCUGUAGCAAGGUUAACCGAAUAGGGGAGCCGAAGGGAAACCGAGUCUUAACUGGGCGUUAAGUUGCAGGGUAUAGACCCGAAACCCGGUGAUCUAGCCAUGGGCAGGUUGAAGGUUGGGUAACACUAACUGGAGGACCGAACCGACUAAUGUUGAAAAAUUAGCGGAUGACUUGUGGCUGGGGGUGAAAGGCCAAUCAAACCGGGAGAUAGCUGGUUCUCCCCGAAAGCUAUUUAGGUAGCGCCUCGUGAAUUCAUCUCCGGGGGUAGAGCACUGUUUCGGCAAGGGGGUCAUCCCGACUUACCAACCCGAUGCAAACUGCGAAUACCGGAGAAUGUUAUCACGGGAGACACACGGCGGGUGCUAACGUCCGUCGUGAAGAGGGAAACAACCCAGACCGCCAGCUAAGGUCCCAAAGUCAUGGUUAAGUGGGAAACGAUGUGGGAAGGCCCAGACAGCCAGGAUGUUGGCUUAGAAGCAGCCAUCAUUUAAAGAAAGCGUAAUAGCUCACUGGUCGAGUCGGCCUGCGCGGAAGAUGUAACGGGGCUAAACCAUGCACCGAAGCUGCGGCAGCGACACURUGUGUUGUUGGGUAGGGGAGCGUUCUGUAAGCCUGYGAAGGUGURCUGUGAGGYAUGCUGGAGGUAUCAGAAGUGCGAAUGCUGACAUAAGUAACGAUAAAGCGGGUGAAAAGCCCGCUCGCCGGAAGACCAAGGGUUCCUGUCCAACGUUAAUCGGGGCAGGGUGAGUCGACCCCUAAGGCGAGGCCGAAAGGCGUAGUCGAUGGGAAACAGGUUAAUAUUCCUGUACUUGGUGUUACUGCGAAGGGGGGACGGAGAAGGCUAUGUUGGCCGGGCGACGGUUGUCCCGGUUUAAGCGUGUAGGCUGRUUUUCCAGGCAAAUCCGGAAAAUCAAGGCUGAGGCGUGAUGACGAGGCACUACGGUGCUGAAGCAACAAAUGCCCUGCUUCCAGGAAAAGCCUCUAAGCAUCAGGUAACAUYAAAUCGUACCCCAAACCGACACAGGUGGUCAGGUAGAGAAUACCAAGGCGCUUGAGAGAACUCGGGUGAAGGAACUAGGCAAAAUGGUGCCGUAACUUCGGGAGAAGGCACGCUGAUAUGUAGGUGAAGUCCCUCGCGGAUGGAGCUGAAAUCAGUCGAAGAUACCAGCUGGCUGCAACUGUUUAUUAAAAACACAGCACUGUGCAAACACGAAAGUGGACGUAUACGGUGUGACGCCUGCCCGGUGCCGGAAGGUUAAUUGAUGGGGUUAGCGGUAACGCGAAGCUCUUGAUCGAAGCCCCGGUAAACGGCGGCCGUAACUAUAACGGUCCUAAGGUAGCGAAAUUCCUUGUCGGGUAAGUUCCGACCUGCACGAAUGGCGUAAUGAUGGCCAGGCUGUCUCCACCCGAGACUCAGUGAAAUUGAACUCGCUGUGAAGAUGCAGUGUACCCGCGGCAAGACGGAAAGACCCCGUGAACCUUUACUAUAGCUUGACACUGAACAUUGAGCCUUGAUGUGUAGGAUAGGUGGGAGGCUUUGAAGUGUGGACGCCAGUCUGCAUGGAGCCGGCCUUGAAAUACCACCCUUUAAUGUUUGAUGUUCUAACGUUGGCCCCUGAYCGGGGUUGCGGACAGUGUCUGGUGGGUAGUUUGACUGGGGCGGUCUCCUCCUAAAGAGUAACGGAGGAGCACGAAGGUUGGCUAAUCCUGGUCGGACAUCAGGAGGUUAGUGCAAUGGCAUAAGCCAGCUUGACUGCGAGCGUGACGGCGCGAGCAGGUGCGAAAGCAGGUCAUAGUGAUCCGGUGGUUCUGAAUGGAAGGGCCAUCGCUCAACGGAUAAAAGGUACUCCGGGGAUAACAGGCUGAUACCGCCCAAGAGUUCAUAUCGACGGCGGUGUUUGGCACCUCGAUGUCGGCUCAUCACAUCCUGGGGCUGAAGUAGGUCCCAAGGGUAUGGCUGUUCGCCAUUUAAAGUGGUACGCGAGCUGGGUUUAGAACGUCGUGAGACAGUUCGGUCCCUAUCUGCCGUGGGCGCUGGAGAACUGAGGGGGGCUGCUCCUAGUACGAGAGGACCGGAGUGGACGCAUCACUGGUGUUCGGGUUGUCAUGCCAAUGGCACUGCCCGGUAGCUAAAUGCGGAAGAGAUAAGUGCUGAAAGCAUCUAAGCACGAAACUUGCCCCGAGAUGAGUUCUCCCUGACUCCUUGAGAGUCCUGAAGGAACGUUGAAGACGACGACGUUGAUAGGCCGGGUGUGUAAGCGCAGCGAUGCGUUGAGCUAACCGGUACUAAUGAACCGUGAGGCUUAACCUUACAACGCCGAAG